GAUGAACGCUGGCGGCGUGCCUAACACAUGCAAGUCGAACGGAGUCGUUUUGGAAAUCUCUUCGGAGAUGGAAUUCUCGACUUAGUGGCGGACGGGUGAGUAACGCGUGAGCAAUCUGCCUUUAAGAGGGGGAUAACAGUCGGAAACGGCUGCUAAUACCGCAUAAAGCAUUAAAUUCGCAUGUUUUUGAUGCCAAAGGAGCAAUCCGCUUUUAGAUGAGCUCGCGUCUGAUUAGCUAGUUGGCGGGGUAACGGCCCACCAAGGCGACGAUCAGUAGCCGGACUGAGAGGUUGAACGGCCACAUUGGGACUGAGACACGGCCCAGACUCCUACGGGAGGCAGCAGUGGGGAAUAUUGCGCAAUGGGGGAAACCCUGACGCAGCAACGCCGCGUGAUUGAAGAAGGCCUUCGGGUUGUAAAGAUCUUUAAUCAGGGACGAAACAAAGGACGGUACCUGAAGAAUAAGCUCCGGCUAACUACGU
Molecule: ribosomal RNA, 482 nt
Filed under: uncultured bacterium
Lineage: Bacteria
Description: partial 16S ribosomal RNA
Rfam family: Bacterial small subunit ribosomal RNA
Source: RNAcentral